UACGAAGGGGGCUAGCGUUGCUCGGAAUUACUGGGCGUAAAGGGCGCGUAGGCGGAUGUUUAAGUCAGCGGUGAAAGCCCAGGGCUCAACCUUGGAACUGCCAUUGAUACUGGACAUCUUGAGUACGGGAGAGGUGAGUGGAACUCCGAGUGUAGAGGUGAAAUUCGUAGAUAUUCGGAAGAACACCAGUGGCGAAGGCGACUCACUGGCCCGUUACUGACGCUGAGGCGCGAAAGCGUGGGGAGCAAACAGG
Molecule: ribosomal RNA, 253 nt
Filed under: uncultured bacterium
Lineage: Bacteria
Description: partial 16S ribosomal RNA
Rfam family: Bacterial small subunit ribosomal RNA
Source: RNAcentral